AACGAACGCUGGCGGCAGGCUUAACACAUGCAAGUCGAGCGCCCCGCAAGGGGAGCGGCAGACGGGUGAGUAACGCGUGGGAAUCUACCCAUCUCUACGGAACAACUCUGGGAAACUGGAGCUAAUACCGUAUACGUCCUUCGGGAGAAAGAUUUAUCGGAGAUGGAUGAGCCCGCGUUGGAUUAGCUAGUUGGUGGGGUAAUGGCCUACCAAGGCGACGAUCCAUAGCUGGUCUGAGAGGAUGAUCAGCCACACUGGGACUGAGACACGGCCCAGACUCCUACGGGAGGCAGCAGUGGGGAAUAUUGGACAAUGGGCGGAAGCCUGAUCCAGCCAUGCCGCGUGAGUGAUGAAGGCCCUAGGGUUGUAAAGCUCUUUCACCGGUGAAGAUAAUGACGGUAACCGGAGAAGAAGCCCCGGCUAACUUCGUGCCAGCCGCCGCGGUAA
Molecule: ribosomal RNA, 447 nt
Filed under: uncultured bacterium
Lineage: Bacteria
Description: partial 16S ribosomal RNA
Rfam family: Bacterial small subunit ribosomal RNA
Source: RNAcentral